This 256-nucleotide long non-coding RNA is filed under the name Ananas comosus (pineapple). RNAcentral describes it as "long non-coding RNA (ACOM_LNC021400)". Lineage: Eukaryota; Viridiplantae; Streptophyta; Magnoliopsida; Poales; Bromeliaceae. The record is from RNAcentral.
UGUUGAUUCAUAUAUGGACAUUAUUUGAUGUGUAAUUUAUAUUAUCUUUCAGAUGCAGGAGAGUAACGCAUGUAAUUAUUUUGGUUGGUACGACCCACAAUUUACGAGCCGGAGUAUCUCAGUGGUUAAUAGUUUACUAGAAAACAAUAAUAAGUUCCGGGAAGAAGCCGCAGUUGCAGCAAAGAGAAAAAGAUAGAAAUGGGCCGUUUUUGUCAUGUAUGGGAUAGUAAGUGGGAUUUUUUGGUCAUCCUGCUAU